Molecule: ribosomal RNA, 442 nt
Filed under: uncultured bacterium
Lineage: Bacteria
Description: partial 16S ribosomal RNA
Rfam family: Bacterial small subunit ribosomal RNA
Source: RNAcentral
CCUACGGGAGGCAGCAGUGGGGAAUAUUGGGCAAUGGGCGCAAGCCUGACCCAGCAAUGCCGCGUGAAGGAAGAAGGCUUUCGGGUUGUAAACUUCUUUGACAGGGGAAGAGCAGAAGACGGUACCCUGAAAACAAGCCACGGCUAACGACGUGCCAGCAGCCGCGGUAAUACGUAGGUGGCAAGCGUUGUCCGGAUUUACGGGGGGUAAAGGGCGGGUAGCCGGGAAGGCAAGUCAGAGGUGAAAGCCGGAGGCUCAACCGCCGAAUUGCAUUUUAAACUGUUUUUCUUGAGUCCUGGAGCGUCAGCCGUCUUUCCUUUUGUCGCGGUGAUAUGCGUCGCUAUCCGGAGGUCCCCCAGUGGCGACGGCGGUCUGCUGGACAGCAACUGCCGGUGCGGCGCGCCAGCGUGGGGAGCCAACCGGAUUAGAUACCCGAGUAGUC